Chrysemys picta bellii (western painted turtle) is the source of this 2571-nucleotide non-coding RNA. Lineage: Eukaryota; Metazoa; Chordata; Testudines; Emydidae. The record is from RefSeq and is a predicted model, not a curated record.
GGGAUGGGGUCUCAGUGCCCAGGCUCCUGCCUGAGCCCAAAUAUUUUCACUGCAAUUUUAUCUCCCUGCAGCCUCAGCCCAGGAGCUCUAGUCGGCUGAGCCGGGCGCUGAGACUCGGUGCCAGGGGUUUUUAAUUGCAGUAUAGACGUUCCCUGAGUGCAGGUUUGUUUUAGAGGCAGCUCCCCGGAGAGCAAUGACAACCCAAGCCUGGGAGCUGUCUACCUCCAGACCCUCUGUUUCUGUCCCUUUAAACAGGCCUUAGCGAGAGUCCAUGCAAGGCUGACAGCAGGGGGAUAAUGUUACACUUUAAGAGUUUCCUAAAGGAUCACAUCUGUGUGCAGGCAGAAGAUUGGGUGGUUGUUCUGGACUUGCUGUGGGGAGGAGCAAAGUGAAACCUCCCCAGGGAUUAGGGAGGGCAGCUAUAGGAGAUUACAGCAUCCUUCAGCAAUGUGCUUGCUGGAGACGGUUUGUGUGUUUUGGGAACCGUUCCAGGGGGUUUCACAGGCAGCCCUUGCUGCAGGAUGGGUUGAUUACACUGUGGCUUAGGCCCUUCCAGGCUGGGUCAAGCGGGAUUUCUCCUACACAUAUUUGCACUGAAGAUGCUGUGUGCUGGGAGUGGAUCGGGAUUAAUAACAUUCAGAUGAUAAGCACAUUUCAAAUGAGUUUCUUUUUGAAUUUCAUAUUGGACAGCACCAGAUUUAUGUAACUCAUUUAUAACGCUAGUCUUCAGACUGUGCUAUCCAUCUAGCCCAGCUCCGAGAGCCACCCCUGGUGCUCUCGCAGCUGCAGGGAAGCUGGAUUCGGACUUCGUGAAAUGAUCUCUGAUUCUGCUGCUUUGGGUGGGGGUGGCGGCGAAGGGAGAGAUGUCCGGUUUGAAAAAUCUGCAGCGAUAGCUUAUGGAGCAGGUGAAAGGGCUCCAAGAGCCACAUGUUGCAGUUUGGUGGUGUGAGAGGAGAGCUGAGGAGUUCAAUUUCAUGUCUGAGGCUCCAAUCCAGGCUGAACUCAGCCAUCAAGUGCAUGCUGCAGAGAGUCUGAGCACAUGCCCACGGAGAUCAGUCCUCUCGUCAGAUCUGGGGAGUCCUGAGUGAGGAAGGACCGCUGCGGCGAUGUGACUGUGUUCCCUGCAUCAUCCCUGUCUGUCUCCCUGCUUGGACACCACACAUUCAUCUUCCCCUCCCCGCCCCGUUCCAGCAGAAAUGUUCCCUUCACAGGUCUCGGGACAUGGAUGCAUUGGGAGCCGGUCACGUCUGUUUCCCCUCGACUGGUGCUUUCUGCUGACAGACUCACCCUGGGAAUACAAGCUUGUCUCCAAGCAUAUGGCAUCACCACCGUCCUGAGAACUCCCUCUCAGCCCCACCCUCAUGCCCAGAUCAUGCGAAGAAAGAGCAUCUAUACGUUCCAACAGGGAUGGGAGCAAGUGAUGACAAAGCUCUGCCCUUGCUGACGCAUGUCUGGGAGAACGGCAGUUACAGCAGAGCCGAGCCUUCACCAGGAACAGAAUGUGAAUUGGAUUCAGAGAACAGGAAAGCCUGUCAGGCUGAUCUGGCCGUCCCAGGACAUUCCCUUUGGUACAGCUCUUGUUUAUGGGACUUGCAGCCCUCCCCCUUCCUUCCCUGAUGGUUUCUCAUUUUCUGGCCAGGCCCUAGAGUCUCCACUUCUGUUCAAAACAGUUUUUCUUUACGUUGGCAUUGGAACAAAAGUGAAUCACGCAGCGUUUGCUGACUUCACUUUGUAUAAAGAUUAGGAAAACAGUUGAGAUAAAUACUGGCUUCAGAAUGUGGAAUAAUCUGGAUCAUUUUAACAGACCACGCCAUGGCCAGCAACUCAGAACCCUUCCCCUUUCCAGAUACGCGGCUUGAGGUCCCACCAGUCUCCACUUCCCACCUAGCCCGCGAUUAACUCCGCACUUUCUUAUAAACUCUGCCAGCUUCCUAUAGACGAACUAAUCACAAUGCUGCACAGUGCUUGGGUUCCCGCCCCUUCCAGCUGACCUCUGAGGAAGCGAAAGCUUUAGUCUGUGAAUUUUUGGGGUGUGUAAUUGUGAACAGUAAUUGCAGACUGAUUUUCCUCUCCUCUGGCUUUUCCCCUCACCACAUGUGCAUGCUUUAGCCUUGCCUGUCUCAGACCUAUUCAGAAUGCUGUUCCCAUCACUUUGACCAUGUCCAUUCCCCUGGCUUCUCCUUCUCUAUCGCGUCAAACAUCAGCUGCUUCUCUUCACUUUCACGGCCACGCCUGGCCUGUCCCCACCCUCCCUAUCAGCUCCUACCUCUGAUCAGCCAAUGAUGCCACCUCCAUCACCCACUUGUGACAUUUUCAAAGCAGCCUCUUCCUCGCAAGCUUUCUCCCACGCUGCCCCUCACACUUGGGAGAAGCUGCCUCCUUCUUCUCCUUCAAAUUCCUCCUUAGAACUCUCUUCUGGUGCGAUCCCUACAGACACCUGACCACAGCUAGGAUGUUGGUGUGCUGAGACCACUGCCUGUCAUGCUGACCAAUAUUGUCUCGUUGCUUCUUUGUACUCCACCUGUCUGUCACCAUCUGGCGUCUCUUGUCUUAAACUGAGAUCGUAAGCUC